This 1142-nucleotide ribosomal RNA is filed under the name uncultured organism. RNAcentral describes it as "bacterial SSU rRNA". It matches the Rfam family "Bacterial small subunit ribosomal RNA", at positions 33 to 1205 of the family's 1533-position model. The record is from RNAcentral.
ACGCCGGCGGCGUGCCUAAUACAUGCAAGUCGAACGAGAACCCUUGGAUUCGUCUGGGGGGGAGAGUGGCGAACUGGUGAGUAACGCGUGGGUGACCUGCCCCGAAGACGGGGAUAACCGUUGGAAACGACGGCUAAUACCCGAUAUACUCGGUGAUUCGGUUCAUCGAGUAAAGGCUCCGGUGCUUCGGGAUGGGCCUGCGGCCUAUCAGCUAGUUGGUGGGGUAAUGGCCCACCAAGGCGAAGACGGGUAGGGGGCGUGAGAGCGCGGNCCCCCACACUGGCACUGAGAUACGGGCCAGACUUCUACGGAAGGCAGCAGUCGGGGAUAUUGCACAAUCGGCGAAAGCCGGAUGCAGCGACGCCGCGUGGGCGAUGAAGGCCUUCGGGUUGUAAAGCCCUUUUAUGGGGGAAGAGACAAGGACGGUACCCCAAGAAUAAGCGUCGGCUAACUACGUGCCAGCAGCCGCGGUAAAACGUAGGACGCAAGCGUUAUCCGGAUUUACUGGGCGUAAAGAGCGUUGAGGCGGUUCCGUAAGUUGGGCGUGAAAGCCCCGGGCUUAACCCGGGGAGGUCGUUCAAUACUGCGGGACUUGAGGGCAGCAGAGGGAGGCGGAAUUCCCGGUGUAGCGGUGAAAUGCGUAGAUAUCGGGAGGAACACCAGUGGCGAAGGCGACCUCCUGGGCUGUUUCUGACGCUGAAGGCGAAAGCUAGGGGAGCGAACGGGAUUAGAAACCCCGGUAGUCCUAGCCGUAAACGAUGGAUGCUGGGUGUGGGGGGUAUAGAUCCCCUCCGUGCCGAAGCUAACGCGUUAAGCAUCCCGCCUGGGGAUUACGGCCGCAAGGCUUAAACUCAAACGAAUUGACGGGGGCCCGCACAAGCAGCGGAGCGUGUGGUUUAAUUCGAUGCUACACGAAGAACCUUACCUGGGCUUGACAUGUAGGUAGUAGUGAAGCGAAAGCGGAACGACCCUUCGGGGAGCCUACACAGGUGCUGCAUGGCUGUCGUCAGUUCGUGCCGUGAGGUGUCGGGUUAAGUCCCGUAACGAACGCAACCCUUGCCCUUAGUUACAUGUGUCUAAGGGGACUGCCCGGGACAACUGGGAGGAAGGUGGGGAUGACGUCAAGUCAGCAUGGCCUUUAU